AGUUAGAUAAGAGAAUGAGAAUAAUAGAACCUAUAUACAUAACAGAUGCUGAGAAGUGAUCAUGAUGUCAAAGUCUCCAAAUCUAGCCUGGCUAACACUUCAAACUACGGUGAUCAAUACUAAUUGGCAUUAGUGAAAAGUUAAACAUGUAGAUUAAUGAAACAGAAUAGAAAGCAUACAUAUACAGUCAAUUAGUUCAUAACAAAAUUACUAAGGGAAUAGAGAAGGCAAAGGAAAAUCUCUGCAAUGAAUGGUGCUGGAUCAGCUGGAAAUUCAUUUGAAAUGGGAAAAAAAUUGAUCUUGAUAAUUACUUGACAAUAUAUACAAAAACAUCAACAUUAUUCAUUAUCAUAAGUAUAAAGCAUAAAACUAUAAAACUUCUAAAAUAAAACAGGAAAACUAUUUGUGACCAUUGGGUAAGCUUAAUUGUUUAUAUCAUAAAAAGGAUAGAAAAAAGCUGGGUAAAAUGGACUGCAUUUUUUUUAAAAAAAAACCUCUUUAAAAUAUAUUAUGAAAACAAAAAGGCAAGUCGCAGAGUGAGAAAAUAUCCGGGAUGUACAAAACAACUCUUAUAAAUCAAUAAGAAGACACCUAACCUAAUACAAUAUGGGCAAACAUUUGAAUAGAGGCUUCACUGAAGAAGAUAUGCAAAUGACAAGUACACACAUAAAAAGAUGCUCAAUAUCUUUAGUCAUCAGGGAAAUGCAAACUAAAACCACAAAGAGACACCAAUAUAUAACUGUUAGGCAAAGAGGAACCGGAGGGUUCUGAUUUAACUUUUGGGGGGUUUCUUUCUAUAUUCAAUAGCAGGUCUUUUCAAUUUUCAAGGGCAAAUGUAAGCAGGAAUCAUUAGCAAGCCAACUCAUAGGGGAAGGGAGCAUACAUGAUUUCAUUAGGCCAAUUUAAAAAAUGAUAAUUCUAAAGAUGUUAUUUUUCAUCUCUUUCAUAAUGAACUUGGAAGACUCGGGAUGCUGUUUUGUGUGUCAUUUCAGGCUGGGAUAAUGGGCUCCCCUGGGCCUUGCCUCAGUCAUGCUGCCUCACUCUCUGGCAGGGAAACAAAUGACACCAACUCACACUUCUGGCUUUGUCACAUCCAUGCCUGAAGAUGCUUUUAUGUAGGUGAUUCUGGAAAUGGGGAGAUUUAAGUUCAGCUGCUCUAAUAAUUGUCUCAGAGAAGCAGGAUAUUUAGAUGUCGGAUUGUGAGCCUGGACUCAAGGGAGAGGAGCUGGGCUUUUAGGAUGUGCGUACUCAUUGGCCAUGCCAGGGGAUGUACCCAGACGCUUCCAGAUCUCUGCUAGUAAUGUGGGCAGACAGGCUUCAGUAGCCUAAGGACAGUCCUG
This 1340-nucleotide long non-coding RNA is filed under the name Homo sapiens (human). RNAcentral's name for it is "HSALNT0264545". Lineage: Eukaryota; Metazoa; Chordata; Mammalia; Primates; Hominidae. The record is from RNAcentral.